AGAGUUUGUUCCUGGCUCAGGAUGAACGCUGGCGGCGUGCUUAACACAUGCAAGUCGAACGAAGCACCUUGAUUUGAUUCUUCGGAUGAAGAUCCUGGUGACUGAGUGGCGGACGGGUGAGUAACGCGUGGGUAACCUGCCUCAUACAGGGGGAUAACAGUUAGAAAUGACUGCUAAUACCGCAUAAGACCACAGCACCGCAUGGUGCAGGGGUAAAAACUCCGGUGGUAUGAGAUGGACCCGCGUCUGAUUAGGUAGUUGGUGGGGUAACGGCCUACCAAGCCAACGAUCAGUAGCCGACCUGAGAGGGUGACCGGCCACAUUGGGACUGAGACACGGCCCAAACUCCUACGGGAGGCAGCAGUGGGGAAUAUUGCACAAUGGGGGAAACCCUGAUGCAGCGACGCCGCGUGAGCGAUGAAGUAUUUCGGUAUGUAAAGCUCUAUCAGCAGGGAAGAAAAUGACGGUACCUGACUAAGAAGCACCGGCUAAAUACGUGCCAGCAGCCGCGGUAAUACGGAGGAUCCGAGCGUUAUCCGGAUUUAUUGGGUUUAAAGGGAGCGUAGAUGGAUGUUUAAGUCAGUUGUGAAAGUUUGCGGCUCAACCGUAAAAUUGCAGUUGAUACUGGAUGUCUUGAGUGCAGUUGAGGCAGGCGGAAUUCGUGGUGUAGCGGUGAAAUGCUUAGAUAUCACGAAGAACUCCGAUUGCGAAGGCAGCCUGCUAAGCUGCAACUGACAUUGAGGCUCGAAAGUGUGGGUAUCAAACAGGAUUAGAUACCCUGGUAGUCCACACCGUAAACGAUGAUUACUAGGUGUUGGAGGAUUGACCCCUUCAGUGCCGCAGUUAACACAAUAAGUAAUCCACCUGGGGAGUACGACCGCAAGGUUGAAACUCAAAGGAAUUGACGGGGGCCCGCACAAGCAGUGGAGUAUGUGGUUUAAUUCGAAGCAACGCGAAGAACCUUACCAGGUCUUGACAUCCGAUGCAUAGUGCAGAGAUGCAUGAAGUCCUUCGGGACAUCGAGACAGGUGGUGCAUGGUUGUCGUCAGCUCGUGUCGUGAGAUGUUGGGUUAAGUCCCGCAACGAGCGCAACCCUUAUUGCCAGUUACUACGCAAGAGGACUCUGGCGAGACUGCCGUUGACAAAACGGAGGAAGGUGGGGAUGACGUCAAAUCAUCAUGCCCUUUAUGACCUGGGCUACACACGUACUACAAUGGCGUUUAACAAAGAGAAGCAAGACCGCGAGGUGGAGCAAAACUCAAAAACAACGUCUCAGUUCAGAUUGCAGGCUGCAACUCGCCUGCAUGAAGUCGGAAUUGCUAGUAAUCGCGGAUCAGCAUGCCGCGGUGAAUACGUACCCGGGCCUUGCACUCACCGCCCGUCA
Molecule: ribosomal RNA, 1384 nt
Filed under: uncultured bacterium
Lineage: Bacteria
Description: bacterial SSU rRNA
Rfam family: Bacterial small subunit ribosomal RNA
Source: RNAcentral